Molecule: ribosomal RNA, 253 nt
Filed under: uncultured bacterium
Lineage: Bacteria
Description: partial 16S ribosomal RNA
Rfam family: Bacterial small subunit ribosomal RNA
Source: RNAcentral
UACAGAGGAUGCAAGCGUUAUCCGCAAUGAUUGGGCGUAAAGCGUCUGUAGGUGGCUUUUUAAGUCCGCCGUCAAAUCCCAGGGCUCAACUUUGGACAGGCGGUGGAAACUAUCAAGCUGGAGUACGGUAGGGGCAGAGGGAAUUUCCGGUGGAGCGGUGAAAUGCGUAGAGAUCGGAAAGAACACCAACGGCGAAAGCACUCUGCUGGGCCGACACCGACAGUGAGAGACGAAAUCUAGGGAAGCGAAUGGG